Molecule: RNase P RNA, 358 nt
Filed under: Rhodobacterales bacterium
Lineage: Bacteria; Pseudomonadati; Pseudomonadota; Alphaproteobacteria; Rhodobacterales
Description: RNase P RNA component class A
Rfam family: Bacterial RNase P class A
About the family: Ribonuclease P (RNase P) is a ubiquitous endoribonuclease, found in archaea, bacteria and eukarya as well as chloroplasts and mitochondria. Its best characterised activity is the generation of mature 5'-ends of tRNAs by cleaving the 5'-leader elements of precursor-tRNAs.
Source: RNAcentral
GCGGAUGGCCGGAUGGCCGCGGCCCGAAAGGGGCGAGGAAAGUCCGGACUCCACAAGGCAACGGUGCCGGGUAACGCCCGGCGGGGGCAACCCCAGGGAAAGCGCCACAGAAAACAGACCGCUUUGAGCAAUCAGAGUAAGGGUGAAACGGUGGGGUAAGAGCCCACCGCGCUUCUGGCAACAGCGGCGGCACGGCAAGCCCCACCGGGAGCAAUGCCAAAUAGGGACCUCGCAUGGGCCGCCUUGGCCCGGGGUCCGGGUCGGCAGCUUGAGCACGCGGGCAACCGCGCGCCUAGAGGAAUGGUCAUCCAAGGGGGAAACCCCGGGACAAAAUCCGGCUUACAGGCCGUCCGCGCAU